GAUGCCUUGUAUGCUAUGGAGUUGGCCUUGGCUCUCGAAAAGCUUGUAAAUGAGAAGUUGCACAACCUGCACAGUGUGGCAUCAAGGUGCAAUGAUCCACAGCUGACCGACUUCGUUGAGAGCGAAUUCCUUGAGGAGCAGGUUGAAGCCAUCAAGAAGAUCUCUGAGUAUGUCGCCCAGCUGAGAAGAGUGGGAAAGGGGCAUGGGGUGUGGCACUUUGAUCAGAAGCUGCUUGAGGAAGAAGCUUGAAUGGAGGAGACGGUGUGAAGGGCAGUAGUAGGUUUCGUUUCUUCCAUCCAUGGGAUCAUGCAGCUAAAGAAAGAAAAUAAGUCGAGUCUGUGUAUUCAUCAAAUUAAGCACGCAGUAGCAAUGGAGUGAAUGAACCAACCAAUUUGGUCAUGAACUUCCCCCUGUGUCUAGGUCAGUAGAGCUUCAGAAUCAUGUGUAUGUCGCGCGUCCUCGCAGAAAAGGAACAUGGCGCCGCUGGCUGUAGCGAUACUUGUGAUAUUGUGGCUAUGCAUGGAGUCAUGGUGAUGGUGUAUUUUGGGGGCAUUUACACGUUUGUUGC
RNAcentral lists this unclassified non-coding RNA (568 nucleotides) under Hevea brasiliensis (rubber tree). The record is from RNAcentral. Lineage: Eukaryota; Viridiplantae; Streptophyta; Magnoliopsida; Malpighiales; Euphorbiaceae.